Molecule: transfer RNA, 88 nt
Filed under: Bathymodiolus heckerae thiotrophic gill symbiont
Lineage: Bacteria
Also listed under: 1 other name
Description: tRNA-Ser-GGA
Rfam family: tRNA
About the family: Transfer RNA (tRNA) molecules are approximately 80 nucleotides in length. Their secondary structure includes four short double-helical elements and three loops (D, anti-codon, and T loops). Further hydrogen bonds mediate the characteristic L-shaped molecular structure. tRNAs have two regions of fundamental functional importance: the anti-codon, which is responsible for specific mRNA codon recognition, and the 3' end, to which the tRNAs corresponding amino acid is attached (by aminoacyl-tRNA synthetases). tRNAs cope with the degeneracy of the genetic code in two manners: having more than one tRNA (with a specific anti-codon) for a particular amino acid; and 'wobble' base-pairing, i.e. permitting non-standard base-pairing at the 3rd anti-codon position.
Source: RNAcentral
GGAGAAAUGUCAGAGCGGUUUAAUUUGCUCGCUUGGAAAGCGGGUGUACGGUAACGUACCGAGGGUUCGAAUCCCUCUUUCUCCACCA